GUGCUCACUUCAGCAGCAUAUAUACCAAAAUUGGAACAAUACAGAGAAGAUUAGCAUGGCCCCCUACGAAAGGAUGACACACAAAUUUGUGAAGAGUUCCAUAUGGGG
Molecule: small nuclear RNA, 108 nt
Organism: Protobothrops mucrosquamatus (brown spotted pit viper)
Lineage: Eukaryota; Metazoa; Chordata; Lepidosauria; Squamata; Viperidae
Source: RefSeq, a predicted model, not a curated record